ACGGAGGAUGCGAGCGUUAUCCGGAUUCAUUGGGUUUAAAGGGUGCGUAGGCGGACUAUUAAGUCAGUGGUGAAAUCCUGCAGCUUAACUGCAGAACUGCCAUUGAUACUGAUAGCCUUGAGUUUGGUUAAGGUAGGCGGAAUGUGUAAUGUAGCGGUGAAAUGCUUAGAUAUUACACAGAACACCAAUUGCGUGGGCAGCUUACUGAGCCGACCCUCACGCUGAGACACGUGAGCAUGGGGAUCGAAAAG
RNAcentral lists this ribosomal RNA (251 nucleotides) under uncultured prokaryote. Its description in RNAcentral is "partial 16S rRNA". It matches the Rfam family "Bacterial small subunit ribosomal RNA", at positions 525 to 775 of the family's 1533-position model. The record is from RNAcentral.